GACGAACGCUGGCGGCGUGCUUAACACAUGCAAGUCGAACGAGAGCGUAGAGAAAGCUUGCUUUUUCUACAAUCUAGUGGCAAACGGGUGAGUAACGCGUAAACAACCUGCCCUACGGAUGGGGACAACAGCUGGAAACGGCUGCUAAUACCGAAUACGUUCCGAAAGUCGCAUGACUAUCGGAAGAAAGGAUGGCCUCUAUUUAUAAGCUAUCGCCGGAGGAGGGGUUUGCGUCUGAUUAGCUAGUUGGAGGGGUAACGGCCCACCAAGGCGACGAACAGUAGCCGGUCUGAGAGGAUGAACGGCCACAUCGGAACUGAGACACGGUCCAGACUCCUACGGGAGGCAGCAGUGGGGAAUCUUCCGCAAUAGGCGAAAGCCUGACGGAGCCACGCCGCGUGAGUGAAGACGGCCUUCGGGUUGUAAAGCUCUGUUAUACGGGACGAAUAAUCUUGUGGUUAAUACCCAUGAGAAGUGACGGUACCGUAAGAGAAAGCCACGGCUAACUACGUG
RNAcentral lists this ribosomal RNA (513 nucleotides) under uncultured bacterium. Its description in RNAcentral is "partial 16S ribosomal RNA". It matches the Rfam family "Bacterial small subunit ribosomal RNA", at positions 28 to 507 of the family's 1533-position model. The record is from RNAcentral.